CUAUCCGCUGUGCGCGUAGGAGUCGUUGAGAAGGGCUGUCCCUAGUACGAGAGGACCGGGACGGACGAACCUCUGGUGUGCCAGUUGUUCUGCCAAGGGCAUGGCUGGUUGGCUACGUUCGGGAGGGAUAACCGCUGAAAGCAUCUAAGCGGGAAGCCUGCUUCGAGAUGAGGACUCCCACCUCCUAGAGAGGGUAAGGCUCCCAGUAGACGACUGGGUUGAU
This is a ribosomal RNA of Streptomyces afghaniensis 772, 223 nucleotides long. It matches the Rfam family "Bacterial large subunit ribosomal RNA", at positions 2638 to 2857 of the family's 2925-position model. The record is from Rfam. NCBI's taxonomy places the organism in Bacteria, Bacillati, Actinomycetota, Actinomycetes, Kitasatosporales, Streptomycetaceae.